AUGCCACAGACCAUGCUCCUCCUAGCUAUCUGCUACGCGGCGCUGCUCGGCACCGGCGUGUCCGGCGCGCCAUCUCCUCCACCAGUGCCGGCAUCUACACUGUUGAGAGACCGGAAAAACUGUCCUGCCAAGUGCGGGACAUAGACAUCCCCUACCCUUUCGGCGUCGGCAAAAGGUGCUCGCUGUCGCCCAUGUCCGCAGUUCGCACUCACCUGUAACGAGGAGACGAGGCCUCCGACCCUGCACACGGGCGAGAAUGUCAAGGUCGCCAAUAUCACGCUGGAGACGGCGCAGAUGGUGGUCUACAACUACCUUACCUUCAGCUGCGUGGUGCCGGGCGAGAAGAAACUAGAGUGGCAAAACAUGGACAUGAAGAUCUCCCCGCCGUUCCUGCUCUCGCCGUCGGCCAACGUGUUCACGGCCAUCGGCUGCAGCUCGACGGCCAAGCAGCGACACGGCCUACUUCACCGGCUGUAUCACGACGUGUGAGAAGGUGAACGACACCGGGGCCGACGGCACACCGUGCAGCGGGCACGGCUGCUGCGAGGCCUCACUCACGCCCGGCCUCAACCAAGUCAAGGUGAGCUGGAACAAGGACGAGGAGGGCAGCAAUCCGGUGCACGGCAACCUGUGCCAGUACGCCUUCGUCGCCUCCAAAGGCUGGUACACAGUUACAGAAAAGCAGACCUAAUUGGAAGUAUGGCGUUCGUCAGCAGACUUCGACAAAACGCAAGUGACCCCAUCGUUCCACUUGUUUUUGACUGAGCAAUUAGGGAUGGGGCAUGCCCGCCGGAGCCAGAAGGUGAUGACAAGGAAACAAUUACCUACGGCGCUUGUGUUAGCACCCACAGCUAUUGUGUGAAUGCCAGCAAUGAAGCACCGGGCUAUUUCUGCAAUUGCUCAAGGGGAUACACCGGCAAUCCAUACAUAGAAAAUGGAUGCACGGAUAUUGAUGAGUGUGCAUUACGAAGAUGGCCAAAUACAACAUUGCAUGAGAUAAUGUAUCCUUGUCAUGGAGGGACAUGCGAUGAUACAGAAGGGGGUUAUAAGUGUAUAUGCAAUUUCGGACGAAGAGGUGACGGCAAGAGUGAAAGAGGCUGUGAACCCGUACUGCCCACGGCUGCAGUAGCAGCAAUAGGAACUAUAAGUGACAUGGCAGUACUAUCGGUGAUACUAAUAUUCUUGCACAUGGAGCGAGAGAAAAGGAAGCUGAGAGAUCGAUUCAACAGGAACGGCGGGUCGUUCCUCAAGAGCGCCGGGAUCGAGAUAUUUACCAAGGACAAGCUGGGUCGCAUCACAAACAAGUACAGCUGCAUCAUUGGCAAAGGUGCCUUCGGUAAGGUCUACAAGGGGACCACCGACACCGGCGUUGUUGUUGCUCCUGAAGCGCUCCAUCAUCGUUAACGAGUACCGGCAGAAGGAUUUCGCGAAUGAGAUCACGGUCCAAUCCAAGAUCAGCCACCCAAACCUGGUCCGGCUGGUGGGUUGCUGCCUGGAGACGGAGGUGCCCAUGUUGGUCUACAAGUUCAUCCAAAGAGGGAGCCUUCGGGACGUGCUUCACGGAAACAACGACCCUCUCCCACUGGAAACACGCCUCGACAUCGCCAUCAGCUCUGUCGAGGGGCUCCAUUACAUGCACUCGCAGAGCCAGAUGAUCCUCCACAGCGACGUCAAGUCCGGCAACAUCCUCCUCGGCGACCGCUUCAUGCCCAAGGUAUCGGACUUUGGGACGUCCAGGCUCAUGUCCAUCGACAAGGACCACACCAACUGGGUGGCCGGGGACAGCAGCUACAUCGACCCCGUGUACAUGAAGACCGGGCUGCUCACCGCAAAGAGUGACGUGUACAGCUUCGGUAUCAUGCUACUGGAGCUUGUUACCCGAAAGAAGGCUAGGUACGGGGAGAAUCGUAGCCUUCUGAUAGACUACAUCAAAGCUUCCAAGGAUGGCACAGCAAGGCAGAUGUUUGAUGAGGAUAUUUCAGCCAAUGUGGAGGAGAACAUGGAGUGCCUCGAGGAGGUUGGCAAGAUUGCAGUGCAGUGUCUUGACGAAGACGUGUAUAACAGGCCUACCAUGGGAGAAGUCAAGGAGAAACUUGAGAAGUGUAAGAGCCAGUGGUUGAAAAGCCAGGGGAAGGCGAAUGAGGUAAGUGCAUAG
Molecule: ribosomal RNA, 2155 nt
Filed under: Triticum aestivum (bread wheat)
Lineage: Eukaryota; Viridiplantae; Streptophyta; Magnoliopsida; Poales; Poaceae
Description: partial small subunit ribosomal RNA
Source: RNAcentral